UACGUAGGGCGCAAGCGUUGUCCGGAAUUAUUGGGCGUAAAGAGCUCGUAGGCGGUGUGUCACGUCGGCCGUGAAAACCUGCAGCUUAACUGUGGGCGUGCGGUCGAUACGGGCAUCACUGGAGUUCGGCAGGGGAGACUGGAAUUCCUGGUGUAGCGGUGAAAUGCGCAGAUAUCAGGAGGAACACCGGUGGCGAAGGCGGCGACCUGGGUAGAUACUGACGCUGAGGCGCGAAAGCGUGGGGAGCAAACAGG
RNAcentral lists this ribosomal RNA (254 nucleotides) under uncultured bacterium. RNAcentral's name for it is "partial 16S ribosomal RNA". It matches the Rfam family "Bacterial small subunit ribosomal RNA", at positions 524 to 776 of the family's 1533-position model. The record is from RNAcentral.